RNAcentral lists this long non-coding RNA (3800 nucleotides) under Sus scrofa (pig). RNAcentral describes it as "lncRNA (ENSSSCG00035075313.1)". Lineage: Eukaryota; Metazoa; Chordata; Mammalia; Artiodactyla; Suidae. The record is from RNAcentral.
GUCUAAGGCCAUUGGUUUGUUAGAUGUGGAUGUGUAUGGCCCUUCAAUUCCAAAGAUGAUGAAUCUGAAAGGAAAUCCAGAAUUGUCACAGAGCAACUUAAUGCGACCUCUUUUGAAUUAUGGUAUUGCUUGCAUGUCCAUGGGCUUCCUGGUUGAAGAGACUGCACCAGUUGUUUGGAGAGGCCUUAUGGUAAUGUCAGCCAUUGAGAAACUGUUAAGGCAGGUAAGAAAAUUGCAUUAAGUAUUAUUUUAUUAUUGGUAUACUGUGGUUAAUAUUUACUGAUUGGAGAGUCAUUAAAAUUUGCAGUCAGGUUUGAGAUGUUUUACAAAAGAAUCCAGUUGAUAGACUGAAUUUGUAAUGCGUUGUGUGGUGCCAAGCCCAAAUUUCACUGUCACAUGAUUAAAUCUUUCCCAUUGCUUAUAAGUACUAAAAUCUAAUGUCUUAUUUUAUAUUGUUCUGUUUCUCUGUUGUGGCUGCAGUAAGACAAGGAAAUCUAUUUUAUGAGUAAUCUGCCUUCUUUAGAUUUAUGGUUAAUCUCAUUGUGGCUAACCAAUAUUGAGUUAUAAGGGCACUGUAGAAAUUCCUUAGAUAUAGAAAAAAACCUAUAUAAACCAUGGUGCUUAUGAUUUAAAAUUGCUUCAGAACAAAGUGAAAUUUUAUUUUACUCUCAGUACCUACGGCUGCAUAUUUAUGUAUAUAAUGUCUGCCCAGUCAACUCUAAUUCAUCCUUAAGAUGGGCUAUGUGUUAUUUAUGGGAAUAAGUUUUAUUUUUUCCUAGUAGCUGUGAAUUUAUAAUUAAUUAUGUUCUAGGUAAAUAUUGUAAGUACUUUGAAUUUCUCCGCUGACUUAAAACACUUACCCCUUAUUUAUUCAGGAUUUACGUUGGGCCAGACACCAUGCCAUGGGUUAAGAAUUUGAAUCAUAGGUAUCUAGUUGUGGAAGUAAAUAGAUGAAAUAUGUCUUGAACUCUGAAGCUUAUCUUUUUUCAUUGUAAUGUCUUUUUUUCUGCUGUUCGAGUUCUGAUAAAUGUGCUCUUUGACCUUUGGUCCUGGACUCCUCCUGUGUUCUUAGCACAAUUAAGUCUCUCUGCUGCAUUUCUUCCCCUCUUAUACUCAGAUCUCAUAGUUGGUUAUUACAGUUAUACUCCCCAAAACACCCCUUCCAUCCCUGUUACUUUUUUUUUUUUUUUUUUUUUUGCUUUUUAGGGCUGCACUUGCGGCAUAUGGAGGUUCCCAGGCCAGGUGUCCAAUUGAAGCUACAGCUGCUGGGCCUACACCACAGCCAUAGCAACACAGGAUCCGAGCCAUGUCUGUGACCUAUACCACAGCUCAUGGCAACACCAGAUCCUUAACCCACUUAACGAGGCCAGGGAUCGAACCCACAACCUCAUGAUUCCUGGUUGGAUUCAUUUCUGCUGCACCAUGAUGGAAACUCCGUACCAGUUACUUUGUAAUCUUGACCUUUAUUUGUGUGGAUUAAGUCAACUGUUUUUGUUUGAGGAAAAUUCUAAAACAAUCUUUAUUUAGUUUACAAGUUUUUUUUCCAUCUGUGAAAAAAUCUUUUUAAAUUUUAUAAUGAUUUUUAUUUUUUCCAUUAUAGCUGGUUUACAGUGUUCUGUCAAUUUUCUACUGUACAGUAAGGUGACCCAGUUACACAUACAUGUAUACAUUCUAAUAAAUUUAGAGUCAAAGGAAAUUUGGAAACACUCAAAGGAGAAUUCUGAUUUUAAUAUUAAUAUUCCCCCUCCUAUGUUAGUGUUAUAAUUAUCAACAGGAAAUGAUUUAGAGUUCCUCCUAAGGCUUUAUGGAUGGCCAUAAGAAGGUGGAAGUACUUCCACUUUCCACAGUGACCAGGCAGUUAGAGAUCCAAGUCAGUGAGAAGAGACACAGAAAACCAGGCCGAGGGUCGGUGUUUCCAGCUCAGGCAUGUAGAAUCUUCAUAGCCUGUCCCCAGUAAGGGGUGUGCAAGUUCUCUCUUUUCUGUCCUUUUUAAAUCUCAGGGACCCUUUUCCAUCUCAAAUUCCAUCAGGUGACAAAAGCAUCUCUGCAAAUUAACCCUUGAGCCAGGAAGAGAGAAAGCAAGUAUGCACCUGCCCUCUGAAGGGCAAAGAGAAUUACCCAUAGAAUAAGUGCGAUUAAACCUGGCAGUGCAAAUAAUUAGGCUGCAGAAAGAUUGCACCUAAAGCUCACAGUUAGAUUUAGUAACUGCUUUUAUAAAUGAAGAAAAUAUUUUGAGACCAGAGUUGAGAGGAUCAAUAGUCUGAAGGAACCAGAGUGUGUGUGUGUGUGUAUGUGUGUGGUGGAGUGUUGGGGAAGAGAGGUGGGGGUCAAGAUCUCAAUUCCAUAUUCUCAUUCAGUGUCCCACCACAACCCCAGUGUUUUUAAUCUACUGCUGAAUACUGUCAGAGAAUAUAGAUUAAUUGUGUUCAUUGCUGGCAUUAGACGUUUUUGAUUUUUGAAUUUAGCCAUGCUCUCAACAUUAUAGUCAUCUGAUUUUAUUCAUUGUUCUCAACAUUUAUUAAAUGUUCAGCUUAAAAAAAUACUUAGGGAAUUUGGUAGUCUGGCAGAGGGUCUAGUGAAGAUAGAUUUGAGUUUCUGAUACUUAAAUUGUAUGAAAGUCACAAUUUACUCUGUUAAGUGAUGAAGAUACAUUUUUAGCAAACAUACUGCAAAAUAUCAAUGACCGUCAAGAGUGAGAAGAUUGAUACAUUUCUUAUUGGGAUACUUCAGCUAUCUUUUAAGAUAUUAGGAUAUUGGACUGCAUUUUUUGAUGUACAGUCUUUUGUAAAGUUGCUUCUGUCAUCUGCACAUUGUUUUUUUUUUUUUUUUUUUUUGGCAGCAUGCAGAAGUUCCUGGGUCAGGGAUUCAACCUGCACCACAGCAUGACCCAAACCACAGCAGUGACUAUGCUGGGUCCUUAGCCUGCUGAGACACCAGGCUACUCUUGUCAUCUGCAUGUUUUAAUAGGAGCUAAAACCUGACAUUUUUGGAUCAUACUGUGACUAGUGCUAAUCACCUGUUUGUUAAGGAGUGUUUUUUGUUUUUGUUUUGCUUUAGAAAGCAGACCACCAUCUGGUAAAUUUAACAUCCUUAACAUCUAUGUAGCAGUUCGUUGUGGAGAGUACCUGAGUCAUUGGCUGAUUAAAAGAAUUGAAUAUACCAUAUAUAUAGAAGAGUGUACAAAUCAUACAUGUCCAGAUUAUCUCAAAGUGAAAACACCUUUAUGAUCAUCAUUUGGGAUAAGAUAAUAGAAUACCAAUGUCCCAGAAGCUCUUCUUGUGUCCCUUCUUGGUUAUUACUUUGUGGGGAGAAGAAAGAUAAAUACUUGUGGUCAGUCUGCCAUCUUGAAUUAGAAUCUGGUUUAAAGUUUUUUUUUCCCUCGCCCUUAUUAUAUUUUAUUUAGUUAAACUUGUACAUAUAAUGGGAUACACAGAUCUUAUAAUGUACAGUCUAAUGACUUUUGAUAAACAUAUAUAACUAUUUAACCAUACCCCAAUCAAAAUAGAGAACAUUUGGAGUUCCUGUCAUGGCGCAGUGGUUAACAAAUCCGACUGGGAACCAUGAGGUUGUGGGUUCGAUCCCUGGCCUUGCUCAGUGGGUUAAGGAUCCGGCAUUGCUAUGCGUUGUGGGUGGGUUGCAGACACGGCUCGGAUCCCGCGUUGCUGUGGCUCUGGUGUAGGCCGGCAGCUAUAGCUCUGAUUCGACCCCUAGCCUGGGAACCUCCAUAUGCCAUGGGAGCGGCCCAAGAAAUGGCAAAAAAGACAAAAGAAACCCCCCAAAAACAAACAAACAAAAAAAAA